RNAcentral lists this ribosomal RNA (3999 nucleotides) under Triticum aestivum (bread wheat). RNAcentral describes it as "partial small subunit ribosomal RNA". Lineage: Eukaryota; Viridiplantae; Streptophyta; Magnoliopsida; Poales; Poaceae. The record is from RNAcentral.
AUGUCGGUCAUGGUGGGAUCGUCGGAGGCUGAUCCACUGACCCGCAGGCCGCAGCAGCUGCUGGAGUUGCAGCCGCACACGCGAUUCUGUACUACCAAUUGCCCCACCGCAUGUGCGGUUAUAGCUGUUGCGGCUCCGAUCAGUGGCUCGGUGUUCGAUGAUCCCACCAAGCCGACACCCACGCUGUUUUGGACUUGUCUAGAAGUAAGGGUAAAAAUAGUUUCUAGGCCAAGCACUUUUGGUGGUUGCACACGGCUGGAUAACAACCGUUACCACCCUAUUUGUCGGGAUGUCAUGUCGAUAGAUGGACCACACGUGUCCCGUCGGUUAGCACGCGGAGCUAUUAUUGAACCUGCUAAAUGCCGAUUGAUGAGUUUGGAUGAAAAGCGAGAACUUGUUCUUGAGUUAUCGAAGAGGCCACAAAGUGCUCCUGAGAAACUACAGUCAUGGAGUCGCCGUGAUAUUCUAGAGAUUCUUUGUGCCGAUCUAGGAAGGGAAAGGAAAUAUACUGGAUUAUCUAAGCAGAGAAUGCUGGAUUAUCUCUUCAGGGCGGUAACUACUGGCAAAUCAUCUGGCCCUGUGGUGCAUGUGCAAGAAAAGGAGCCAACUCUCGACCCCAACGCAAGUAACCAUCAGUACCCUGCGAAACAUCAAAGGAAGAGUGACAAUUCGUCAGUCAACAAUCCGCUAACCGCUGUUGUACUCGUGCCAAUAAAUAAUGUGCGGUCCUGCCGGAAUAUGGCAUGCAGAGCAAUUCUUAACAUGGGAGAUAAAUUUUGCAGACGCUGUUCAUGCUGCAUAUGUUUCCAGUACGAUGACAACAAGGACCCUACCAUAUGGUUGUUCUGUCGUUCAGAAUAUCCCAUGCAAAAAGAUUCUUGCGGGUUAUCAUGCCAUCUUGAGUGUGCUCUCAAGGAUGGAAGAACCGGAAUUCUGCCGAGUGGGCAGUGCAAGAAACUUGAUGGUGCUUAUUACUGCCCUCACUGUCGGAAGCAGCAUGAUUUGCUCCGGUCCUGGAAACCACAACUAGUGUUAGCUAAAGAGGCUCGGCGGCUCGAUACAUUGUGUUGCCGGAUUUUUCUGAGUCAUAGGAUCCUCUUCUCCACGGAGAAGUAUUCGGUCUUGCAUAAAUUUGUUGACACAGCGAAGCAGAAACUGGAGGCUGAAUUUGGAUCUGUACGCGGGUAUGGACAUAUGGGUCGUGGAAGUGUCAGUCAGCUUACUUGUGGUGCUAAAGUCCAGGAACUUUGUGCUCAAGCACUUGAUGUCAUGGAGUCUAAGUUCUCUGUUGAAUCUCGUACUAACUCACAAUUUGAACGAUCCAAUAUGAUGCCAUCAAGCUUCGUAAAGUUUGAACCUAUAACGCCUACAUCUAUCACUAUAGUUUUUGAUUUCGGUCGAUGUCCUUUGCUCGCCCAAGGGGUAACUGGCUUUAAACUAUGGCACCAGGUGGAUGGUCCAGGAUUUUACUCGGCAAAUCCAACUGGCAUCAUACAUGCAACGUCAAAAACAUUUGUUGUCACUGAACUCAAGCCAGCUACAUGCUAUAUGUUUAAGAUAACUGCAUUCAGCAACUCCAGUGAGUUUAGGCCAUGGGAAUUCAGGGCAAGUACAAGCUCUCCGAAAGAAAGUGAUCUUAAGGGUUCGGUUCCAGGUGCUACUGGAGUAGUAGACCAAAAUAACAGGAGCCUAAAGACAAAUAGUGGUGGUCAAUCUGAUCGUUCUUCAGAGGGGGUUACAGGAAAUCUGGGCGGUAAUGAUGUGUGGCGGUCCUCCUCCUCCUCCUCCAGGAUCAUCGUGAUGUGUCGACCCUCCUCCUCCUAUAUCUGUAUCUUCUGUUUUGCACAUCAGGCCAAGCGCUCGGCGACAGCAGGUGUGCGCCGUGACCUACGGUUCGCCGUGAUCUCGUGUUCCGGUUCAUUUGCAGUAACACCCUACCCAAAGUUCAAAUUGCAGCCACAACUACCCCUCCUCGUUCCCCAAAAUCCUCUUCCCUGUGCUGCUCACAUUUCCACCAAACUAGGGUUUCUCUUCUCACCACCGGAGGCGGACUGGGCGGUGGUGCCGGAACGACGGAACCGCGCGGACCCUCACCGGGAAACGGCCAUCCUCGACCACCGUCCUCGUCUGCGGCCGCGACGGCAUGGAUUCCGGAGAUGGCCUCGCUGCCGAUCCCCGACGAGCUCCUGGCAGAAACCUUCCUCCACCUCCCUGAUCCAGCCGACCUCGCCCCGCCGCGUCGCCACCGAACCCUCCUUCCUCGGGCGCUUGCGCAAGUUCCACGUCCCGCCCCUCCUCGGCUUCCACCCCGCUGAGCGGCCUCACCCCUCCGCGCCGGCAGCCAUCGUCGUCGCCCUCGCUGGCGAUUUCUCCUUCUCCUUCGUACCCGCCCUGCUCACGACUGGGUCGUCGAGGACAGCCGCGACGGCCACCGAGACUUUCCUUGUUCCGUCAGGCGACGAUAAUGAGGACGCCGAAGCAGCGGCUGCUCAAGAGAAGCUAAGCUGGUCGCCUUUGUCUUCUCUUCAAGCACCGGGCAAUGGUGAGCCAUUUCAACCCAGAAUUGGAGCAAUUUAUCUGAAGCUUCUUAUGCUUGACAGCCAGAGUAUUGAGUUAUCCAUGGCUGAUGACCCACCCAUGGUCAGUAGUGCUGGUAGUCCAGAUAAAGCCAUUGUGGGGACAGGGGAAGGCAGGCCUGGGAUGUUUGUGCGUGCACUUAACACAUCUUACAUCAAAUAUACCAUUAGGGAAAACAGUGGAGGGAGUUCCAGCCAGUGGCAGAGAGAGAAGAGAAUUUUACUCGAUUAUCAAUACUUCUUCAUUGGUUCAACAGGGAGCAAUGCCGCCCACGUCGACAGACACAGACGUGGCGACUGGGCGACUGGGCGGGCGACCGUGCACCCGACCGCGACGGCGCCGUCCGCCGCCGGUGAUCGCCGACGCGUCGGCGGGCGGUUCUGGGCUCUCGCCGAGUCCGACGAAGAAGACGCAGACGACGAUGGGGAUGCAUCCCCGGCAGAGGCGCCGCCCUCACCGACACCUUCAGAUCUCGUUUGCGAUUUAUUCCAUGCAGGUUAUUGCGAAGAUGAAGUGGCCAUGACGAUCGAUCAGGUUCUGCCAUCGGAAGAUCCGGCGCGUAUCGGUCUUCACGCGGGCGAGAAGAAUGAGAUGAUCCGACGUGUAGUUCAUCGGAAGAGGCGGCGUCGGCGCUCAGACCGUGGAAGGGACCCAUACCUAAGUCCGGCAACGGCGGCGCCCGUGACGACAGCGGCGAUGACUACGAUCUCGCUCACGAGAUCACAGCGAUUGACUCAGCUGCUAGGGUCCACGGGAUGUUGGGCCGGAGAAAGAUGGCCGCCUCUUCGCCCUAGGGUUCAUAGGCACGGCACGAGAGGUUUUCCUGCCUGUGGUCUACUUCGGGCUAGGAGGAUCUGCCCGCUGCCUGACAUGGCCAGCCGCGGGGCGGCACCGCCGCCAGCCAAGAAGGCCGCUCCCGGUCCUGUGGGACAGGGCGGGACAGCUCCGCCACCGGCGGUGGCCGCUGGACGAGGAGUCCCGAUGUCGUCUGCCCCGAGGCCGCCGCCGGGCGAGGGCGCCACUCAGGGCAACCCGGGGCGAGGUGCUGGCCCCGUGGGCGCGAGGCCUCCGGGGCAAGUGCCCGUCCAGUCGGCCGCUGGUCGGGGCGGCUUGAGGCCUCCGGGGCAAGUGCCCGUCCAGUCGGCCGCUGGUCGGGGCGGCUUGAGGCCCCCGGUGCCGGGCGCUGCACCUCCUGCUCUGCCGGCUGCGGGUCGCGGAGGGCUUCGGCCUGUUGUGCCAGGCGCGUCCGGUGUGGCUCCGGCUGGCCCCGGUGGAGGGCCUCGGCCUGUUGAGGGCUUGCCGGCGCCCUCGGGCUGCUCCUCCGCCCCAUUACGUUGUGAGGCCGGCGCAAAACCGAACCGUUUUGAUAAAGGUGCCGAGAAGAUAGCGCCGAUUAAGGUUGUGCUGCUCCUCGCAAGUUAA